CCCUGGGUGGCUCAGUUGGUUGAGCCUCCGAUUUCGGCUCAGGUCAUGAUCUCACGGUUCGUGGGUUCAAGUCCCACAUCAGGCU
Transfer RNA from Felis catus (domestic cat), 85 nucleotides. It matches the Rfam family "tRNA". From Rfam's summary of the family: Transfer RNA (tRNA) molecules are approximately 80 nucleotides in length. Their secondary structure includes four short double-helical elements and three loops (D, anti-codon, and T loops). Lineage: Eukaryota; Metazoa; Chordata; Mammalia; Carnivora; Felidae. The record is from Rfam.